ACUUAAGUGAAGAAAUUAACCAAUCAAAAUCUCUUAUUAACAAAUUCAAUGUAAGUUCAGAAAGAUUAAAAAUAAUGUUUGAAAGCCAAUGUGUUGCUUAUGAUAAAUCAAAAUUUGGCUUGACUCCUUUACUUAAUAAUAAAUCUCUAGAGAAAAAGGUUAUCAAUUCACCAAGCAAACCAUUAAAUAAGAUAACUUAUUUCAAGCAUAAAAAGAAUGGGCAUAACAACUUUACCUAUCGUUCUAACAUAAUUAAAUCAAGUGGUAAAGUUAUUACAAUUAAACAAAUCUGGGUUCCAAAAGGAACCAUAUGUCCUAACUCUCAAGGACCCAAGCAAGCUUGGAUACCCAAAAUGAAAAUAUGAG
Molecule: long non-coding RNA, 366 nt
Filed under: Phoenix dactylifera (date palm)
Lineage: Eukaryota; Viridiplantae; Streptophyta; Magnoliopsida; Arecales; Arecaceae
Description: long non-coding RNA (PDAC_LNC009531)
Source: RNAcentral